Molecule: ribosomal RNA, 539 nt
Filed under: uncultured bacterium
Lineage: Bacteria
Description: bacterial SSU rRNA
Rfam family: Bacterial small subunit ribosomal RNA
Source: RNAcentral
CCUACGGGAGGCAGCAGUAGGGAAUCUUCCACAAUGGGCGAAAGCCUGAUGGAGCAACGCCGCGUGAGUGAUGAAGGCCUUCGGGUUGUAAAACUCUGUCAUUCGGGACGAACCGGAGUCUGAGGAAAUGCAGACUCUCUGACGGUACCGGAGGAGGAAGCCCCGGCUAACUACGUGCCAGCAGCCGCGGUAAUACGUAGGGGGCAAGCGUUGUCCGGAUUCACUGGGCGUAAAGCGCGCGCAGGCGGUGAUGUAAGUCUGAGGUGAAAACCCGAAGCUCAACUUCGGGACUGCCUUGGAUACUGCGUCACUUGAGGAUAGGAGAGGCAAGGGGAAUUCCACGUGUAGCGGUGGAAUGCGUAGAGAUGUGGAGGAACACCUGUGGCGAAGGCGCCUUGCUGGCCUAUUUCUGACGCUGAGGCGCGAAAGCGUGGGGAGCAAACAGGAUUAGAUACCCUGGUAGUCCACGCUGUAAACCGAUGAGUGCUAGGUAGGUAGGUGGGUCGUCACUACCUACUCGUGUGCGACGACGUAACGAC